GACGAACGCUGGCGGCGUGCUUAACACAUGCAAGUCGAACGCUGAAGGCCCAGCUUGCUGGGUUGGAUGAGUGGCGAACGGGUGAGUAACACGUGAGUAACCUGCCCUCUUCUUUGGGAUAACGGUCGGAAACGGCUGCUAAUACCGGGUAUUCACUGUCCUUCGCAUGGGGGGUGGUGGAAAGGUUUUUUCUGGUGGGGGAUGGGCUCGCGGCCUAUCAGCUUGUUGGUGGGGUGAUGGCUUACCAAGGCUUUGACGGGUAACCGGCCUGAGAGGGUGACCGGUCACAUUGGGACUGAGACACGGCCCAGACUCCUACGGGAGGCAGCAGUGGGGAAUCUUGCACAAUGGGCGAAAGCCUGAUGCAGCGACGCCGCGUGCGGGAUGAAGGCCUUCGGGUUGUAAACCGCCUUCAGCAGGGACGAGGCGAAAGUGACGGUACCUGCAGAAGAAGCCCCGGCUAACUACGUGCCAGCAGCCGCGGUAAUACGUAGGGGGCAAGCGUUAUCCGGAUUCAUUGGGCGUAAAGCGCUCGUAGGCGGUCUGUUAGGUCGGGAGUUAAAUCCGGGGGCUCAACCCCCGUUCGCUCCCGAUACCGGCAGACUUGAGUUUGGUAGGGGAAGGUGGAAUUCCUAGUGUAGCGGUGGAAUGCGCAGAUAUUAGGAAGAACACCAGUGGCGAAGGCGGCCUUCUGGGCCAUAACUGACGCUGAGGAGCGAAAGCUAGGGGAGCAAACAGG
RNAcentral lists this ribosomal RNA (739 nucleotides) under uncultured Actinomyces sp. RNAcentral describes it as "bacterial SSU rRNA". It matches the Rfam family "Bacterial small subunit ribosomal RNA", at positions 28 to 776 of the family's 1533-position model. Lineage: Bacteria; Bacillati; Actinomycetota; Actinomycetes; Actinomycetales; Actinomycetaceae. The record is from RNAcentral.